UUCUGUCUCAACUGGGUGACCACUGUCCAGUUUACCCAAGACUUUCUCAAUUUUAGCACUGAAUUUUUUCUACCCCAGUAACCAUUAUGCAACUAAGGUGACUGGCUGCUUCAACCCUAGCCCACUUCCCUAACGGAAGAUUCUGAACCUUACCACCAAACUCAUCUCACUGUCCACUUUGUGAGAACCUCACCCACCUCAGCCCAUGAGAGGGUCUGACUACAUCACUCAUGAUGGUGAGCUACAGACUGUGUAUUCUUAAAUCUCCAAGCCUUUCUCUGCUUUCUAAGAAUGAAGAGACCCCGAAUGAAGGCAUGGAAAGUUGAAAGUGUCAUUAUGAAAAGACAGGG
RNAcentral lists this long non-coding RNA (350 nucleotides) under Fukomys damarensis (Damara mole-rat). RNAcentral describes it as "lncRNA (ENSFDAG00000028782.1)". The record is from RNAcentral. Lineage: Eukaryota; Metazoa; Chordata; Mammalia; Rodentia; Bathyergidae.